Molecule: ribosomal RNA, 326 nt
Filed under: uncultured bacterium
Lineage: Bacteria
Description: bacterial SSU rRNA
Rfam family: Bacterial small subunit ribosomal RNA
Source: RNAcentral
GAUGAACGCUGGCGGCGUGCUUAACACAUGCAAGUCGAACGAAGCGCGGGAACGGAAGCCCUUCGGGGCGGAAGGUCUCGUGACUGAGUGGCGGACGGGUGAGUAACGCGUGGGUAACCUGCCCCAUACAGGGGGAUAACAGCCGGAAACGGCUGCUAAUACCGCAUGCACAUGCGGGGGCGCAUGCCCCUGUAUGGAAAGCUUUUGCGGUAUGGGAUGGGCCCGCGUCUGAUUAGGCAGUUGGCGGGGUAAAGGCCCACCAAACCGACGAUCAGUAGCCGGCCUGAGAGGGUGGCCGGCCACAUUGGGACUGAGACACGGCCCAA